RNAcentral lists this ribosomal RNA (497 nucleotides) under uncultured bacterium. Its description in RNAcentral is "partial 16S ribosomal RNA". It matches the Rfam family "Bacterial small subunit ribosomal RNA", at positions 28 to 507 of the family's 1533-position model. The record is from RNAcentral.
GAUGAACGCUGGCGGCGUGCCUAAUACAUGCCAGUCGAGCGAACAGACGAGGAGCUUGCUCCUCUGACGUUAGCGGCGGACGGGUGAGUAACACGUGGAUAACCUACCUAUAAGACUGGGAUAACUUCGGGAAACCGGAGCUAAUACCGGAUAAUAUAUUGAACCGCAUGGUUCAAUAGUGAAAGACGGUUUUGCUGUCCCUUAUAGAUGGAUCCGCGCCGCAUUAGCUAGUUGGUAAGGUAACGGCUUACCAAGGCACCGAUGCGUAGCCGACCUGAGAGGGGGAUCGCCCAAACGGGAACUGAGCCACGGUCAAGACUCCUACGGGAGGCAGCAGUAGGGAAUCUGCCGCAAUGGGCGAAAGCCUGACGGAGCAACGCCGCGUGAGUGAUGAAGGUCUUCGGAUCGUAAAACUCUGUUAUUAGGGAAGAACAAAUGUGUAAGUAACUAUGCACGUCUUGACGGUACCUAAUCAGAAAGCCACGGCCAACUACGUG